CCUCCCCGAAACGUCAGCCAAGUUUUCUCUUCUUGCGGAUCAUAAAAGAAGAAAGAAAAAAGGUCUCUCUUCGUUUCCUGAAUUCCUCCCCUCCCCUCUCCUUCUGUUCCAAACCUAAUUUAGUCGAGAAUUGUCAACUUUAUAGUUUCGUAUUCAGUCGAUUGCAUCUUGCUAUGAUUUCUUUUGUUAAACAAAUAGCAAAACGAAAUAGAACAGAUGCGAAAUCAAAUCCAAAAAAAACACUCGGGAACUUCUGGACAUGCAGAUUCCAAUUCUCCUGGAUUCCUGCUUUUUCUCCUGUCGCAAAUCCCAUUGGAAUGAAUUCUGCCAUCAUAUUGGUGGUCUUAGAAAAUAUGCUCUGAUGUGCCACCUCCAAUAAUGGAGAUGGAAACAAGAAAAAAGGAAGCCUGGGAAAAUAUCCUUUUUUGCUCCAACAAUUGAGCAAGAGAGAAAUGAUCCACCACUAUCACAAGAUAAAAAUCCCAAUAAUGACGAUAUCGGGUUUUUAUCUUGUGGUAGUGUUUGUUCGUUUCUCUCUGGCAGUUUUCUAUGCUCCUCAAUUCCUGCUUUUUCUUGUAAGCUCUUCACUCUACCCCUUAAAAAUUGCUCGUUAACUUAUUCUUGUUUUAGAUUUAUGUUUCAUAUUUAUGGGUGCUCGAUGAUGAUUGAUUUGCUUUAACCACACCGAAGAGAGGGUUGUUGGGUCUGGGUUUGACCCACUUGGAUUUAAGCUAAAAACGAGGGGUUAAUGCUUCUACUAGUGUAGUGCUUUGUGGUGUUUGAUGACUCUUCUCUCUAGCAGUGUGAGAGACCUCAAUCUCUCUAUCUUCCAGAGAAAGGAUGAAGGCAUUGUUUAGCACUUUGCUAGUAGGGUUCCCUUCAUUUUUGGCUUGAAUCUUUGAGAGGGUUGGCUCUUCCUCCUAGCUUUCUUAUGUGGAAAACUUUGGCCCUUUGACUGAGAGCACGGAACCCUUUGUUUGGAUCUAUGUUUCGUAACUUGUAGUGUCCUAUAAGUUUUAGGGAUAAUUUUUGGUGUUUGGAUUUGAUUUGAGGAAAA
Molecule: long non-coding RNA, 1057 nt
Organism: Rhododendron vialii
Lineage: Eukaryota; Viridiplantae; Streptophyta; Magnoliopsida; Ericales; Ericaceae
Exons: 2
Source: RefSeq, a predicted model, not a curated record